Non-coding RNA from Corynebacterium maris DSM 45190, 382 nucleotides. It matches the Rfam family "transfer-messenger RNA". Rfam says of the family: Bacterial tmRNA, also known as 10Sa RNA or SsrA, is named for its dual tRNA and mRNA-like properties. Its role is to liberate the mRNA from a stalled ribosome. The record is from Rfam. NCBI's taxonomy places the organism in Bacteria, Bacillati, Actinomycetota, Actinomycetes, Mycobacteriales, Corynebacteriaceae.
GGGGCUGACUUUUGGUUUCGACUUCGGACACUAAGCCAGGGGAAGCGUGCCGGUGAAGGCUGGAGACCACCGUAAGCGUCGCAGCAACUUGAUAAGCGCCGAGAAGAACUCUCAGCGUGACUACGCCCUCGCUGCCUAAGUAGCGACCGCGUGUCCGUCAGCCCCGGUUCGUCGCCGGCCGGGAUCCUGGCGUCGACUCAGGUGACUUGCCGUCAGGCCGCGUCAGCGGGGCCUGACGGGACUCACACCGCUGACUGGGCUCAUCAUCCGGGACGAGUUCGCCCGAGCCGGAGAGCCGAGCAGAGAUCAUGAGCGAACUGCGCACGGAGAAGCCCUGGCGCGGUGCCGAAGGACCCGGGUUCAAAUCCCGGCAGCUCCACCG